This 301-nucleotide ribosomal RNA is filed under the name uncultured bacterium. RNAcentral describes it as "partial 16S ribosomal RNA". It matches the Rfam family "Bacterial small subunit ribosomal RNA", at positions 509 to 807 of the family's 1533-position model. The record is from RNAcentral.
CAGCCGCCACGGUAAUACGAGGGAAGCUAGCGUUGUUCGGAAUUACUGGGCGUAAAGCGCGCGUAGGCGGCUUUUUAAGUCAGAGGUGAAAGCCCGGGGCUCAACCCCGGAAUUGCCUUUGAAACUGGAAAGCUAGAAUCUUGGAGAGGUCAGUGGAAUUCCGAGUGUAGAGGUGAAAUUCGUAGAUAUUCGGAAGAACACCAGUGGCGAAGGCGACUGACUGGACAAGUAUUGACGCUGAGGUGCGAAAGCGUGGGGAGCAAACAGGAUUAGAUACCCGAGUAGUCCCUGUCUCUUAUAC